RNAcentral lists this long non-coding RNA (199 nucleotides) under Elaeis guineensis (African oil palm). RNAcentral describes it as "long non-coding RNA (EGUI_LNC078491)". Lineage: Eukaryota; Viridiplantae; Streptophyta; Magnoliopsida; Arecales; Arecaceae. The record is from RNAcentral.
CCUCCUCUGAACUUUUGAUUCUUCUUCUUUAAGAUCUUUCCAAUCUUUUUUUGGAUUAGAUAAGACUUUAUCUUAAAUCUUAAAGUCUUGUCCUAAAAUGAAGAUGAGUUGUAAGAAAGAAAGGAGAGCUACGGAGAAGAAAAUGGAAAGAUUUCUAAAUACCUUGAACAUCCAGUGCCUAGGCCAUUUUAUAGCCACC